Turdus rufiventris (rufous-bellied thrush) is the source of this 84-nucleotide non-coding RNA. NCBI's taxonomy places the organism in Eukaryota, Metazoa, Chordata, Aves, Passeriformes, Turdidae. The record is from the annotation of a GenBank genome assembly.
UUGGGUGCUACCUCAAAGGGGAUGGGUUGGAAUGUUGUAGUCAUUCCCUGACUACAGCAUCAUGUUCUAAUCAUCACACCCUAA